AAUUCAAUCUGCUGCUGCUGUCAGGCUACAUUAAUUGGAUGGAGCAACUAGCAGGCCUCAUUGCACAAGGGAAGAAAAGGAAGAUGUCACCACACUUCAAAACCUCACCUGGCUUUUCUUGAACACAAAUGUCCAAAGCACAGAAAGGCACAAGCAGGAGAAAUAAUAAGAAAGAAAGAAAGGCUCUGGGGAAGUGAAGCUCUGUGGUGACAUUUCUGCAUCUCCAGUUAGAUGCUGACAGACAGGCUGGCACCUCUGCGGAGUUAAAAUGGAUCA
Long non-coding RNA from Pogoniulus pusillus (Red-fronted tinkerbird), 276 nucleotides. RefSeq lists it as uncharacterized. Lineage: Eukaryota; Metazoa; Chordata; Aves; Piciformes; Lybiidae. The record is from RefSeq and is a predicted model, not a curated record. The transcript is spliced from 3 exons.